Molecule: ribosomal RNA, 164 nt
Filed under: Sebaea ovata
Lineage: Eukaryota; Viridiplantae; Streptophyta; Magnoliopsida; Gentianales; Gentianaceae
Description: 5.8S ribosomal RNA
Rfam family: 5.8S ribosomal RNA
About the family: 5.8S ribosomal RNA (5.8S rRNA) is a component of the large subunit of the eukaryotic ribosome. It is transcribed by RNA polymerase I as part of the 45S precursor that also contains 18S and 28S rRNA.
Source: RNAcentral
AAAACGACUCUCGGCAACGGAUAUCUCGGCUCUCGCAUCGAUGAAGAACGUAGCAAACUGCGAUACAUGGUGUGAAUUGCAGAAUCCCGUGAACCAUCGAGUCUUUGAACGCAAGUUGCGCCCGAAGCCAUCAGGCCGAGGGCACGUCUGCCUGGGCGUCACGC